Molecule: ribosomal RNA, 804 nt
Filed under: uncultured archaeon
Lineage: Archaea
Description: bacterial SSU rRNA
Rfam family: Archaeal small subunit ribosomal RNA
Source: RNAcentral
ACUGCUCAGUAACACGUGGUCAAUCUACCGCAGAGAAGGGGAUAACCUUGGGAAACUGAGGCUAAUACCAUAUAGGUUAGAGAUUCUGGAAUGAGCUUUAACUUAAAAAGUUGCGAAUUGGAGCAUUACUGCUCUGCGAUGAGACUGCGUCGGAUCAGGCAGAUGGCGGGGUAACGGCCCACCAUACCUUUGACCCGUAGGGGAUAUGAGAGUAAGAGCCCCGAGAAGGGCACUGAGACAAUGGCCCUAGCGCUACGGCGUGCAGCAGGCGCGCAAACUCCACAAUGCGCAUACGCGUGAUGGGGGGAAUCUGAGUGAUUGACUUCGGUUAAUCUUUUCCUAAGUCUAGUCAGCUUGGGGAAUAAGUGCUGGGUAAGACCGGUGGCAGCCGCCACGGUAAUACCGGCGGCACGAGUGGUGUUCACUAUUAUUGGGCUUAAAGCGUCAGUAGCCGGCCUAAACAGUCUUGUGUGAAAUAUUGGUGCUUGGCAUCAAUACGUGCAUAAGAUACCUUUAGGCUGGGGAGUGGGAGAGGUUAGGAGUAUUCAUGGGGUAAGGGUAAAAUCUCGUAAUCCUAUGAAGACUACCGGUGGCGAAGGCGCCUAACCAGAACACAUCCGACGGUGAGUGACGAAGGCUAGGAGAACGAAUCGGAUUAGAUACCCGAGUAGCCCUAGCAGUAAAUUAUGCAGACUCUGGUGUUGCGCCUAUCUCGAAUAGGUGCAGUACCGUAAGACAACUGUUAAGUCUGCCGCCUGGGGAGUACGGCCGCAAGGUUGAAACUUAAAGGAAUUGGCGGGGGAG